This 374-nucleotide unclassified non-coding RNA is filed under the name soil metagenome. Its description in RNAcentral is "partial contains 5.8S ribosomal RNA, internal transcribed spacer 2, and large subunit ribosomal RNA". The stretch from base 1 to 117 matches the Rfam family "5.8S ribosomal RNA", at positions 35 to 154 of the family's 154-position model. The record is from RNAcentral.
GAUGAAGAACGUAGCGAAUCGCGAUAUGUAGUGUGAUCUGCCUCUAGAGAAUCAUCAAAUCUUUGAACGCAUCUUGCACCCUUUGGUAUUCCAAAGGGUACGCCUGUUUCAGUAUCAUUAUAACCUUUCUCCCCAAGGCUUUUUGGCCAAGGAGGGAAAGAGCAUAACCGGUGGCCCAGCGGUCUCCCUUCAGGGGGAUUGUCUCGGCUGGAAUGACUGUUGCAAUGGUGGGCCAAAUGGUCUUCCGCACUUGAUAAAUGUACUUUUAUAAAGAGCGGGACCGGUCUGCCGAAAGUUGUAACUAAACCCUUUACCUUUGAUCUGAAAUCAGGCGGGAUUACCCGCUGAACUUAAGCAUAUCAAUAAGCGGAGGA